This 301-nucleotide ribosomal RNA is filed under the name uncultured bacterium. RNAcentral describes it as "partial 16S ribosomal RNA". It matches the Rfam family "Bacterial small subunit ribosomal RNA", at positions 509 to 809 of the family's 1533-position model. The record is from RNAcentral.
CAGUCGCCACGGUAAUACGUAGGUGGCAAGCGUUGCCCGGAAUUAUUGGGCGUAAAGGGCUCGCAGGCGGUUUCUUAAGUCUGAUGUGAAAGCCCCCGGCUCAACCGGGGAGGGUCAUUGGAAACUGGGAAACUUGAGUGCAGAAGAGGAGAGUGGAAUUCCACGUGUAGCGGUGAAAUGCGUAGAGAUGUGGAGGAACACCAGUGGCGAAGGCGACUCUCUGGUCUGUAACUGACGCUGAGGAGCGAAAGCGUGGGGAGCGAGCAGGAUUAGAUACCCGCGUAGUCCCUGUCUCUUAUAA